RNAcentral lists this ribosomal RNA (440 nucleotides) under uncultured bacterium. RNAcentral describes it as "partial 16S ribosomal RNA". It matches the Rfam family "Bacterial small subunit ribosomal RNA", at positions 338 to 795 of the family's 1533-position model. The record is from RNAcentral.
CCUACGGGAGGCAGCAGUAGGGAAUAUUGCUCAAUGGGGGAAACCCUGAAGCAGCAACGCCGCGUGGAGGAUGAAGGUUUUCGGAUUGUAAACUCCUUUUGUUAGAGAAGAUAAUGACGGUAUCUAACGAAUAAGCACCGGCUAACUCCGUGCCAGCAGCCGCGGUAAUACGGAGGGUGCAAGCGUUACUCGGAAUCACUGGGCGUAAGGAGCGCGUAGGCGGGAUAGCAAGUCAGAUGUGAAAUCCUAUGGCUUAACCAGAGAACUGCAUUUGAAACUGUUAUUCUAGAGUAUGGGAGAGGUAGGUGGAAUGCGUGGUGUAGGGGUAAAAUCCGUAGAGAUCAAGAGGAAUACUCAUUGCGAAGGCGACCUGCUAGAACAUAACUGACGCUGAUGCGCGAAAGCGUGGGGAGCAAACAGGAUUAGAUACCCCUGUAGUC